Molecule: non-coding RNA, 30 nt
Filed under: Rattus norvegicus (Norway rat)
Lineage: Eukaryota; Metazoa; Chordata; Mammalia; Rodentia; Muridae
Source: RNAcentral
UGAAAUGAAUGUGCAUGAGCAUGGUGCCAG